GGGGAAUCUUGCACAAUGGGCGCAAGCCUAAUCCAGCAAUGCCGCGUGCAGGAAGAAGGCCUUCGGGUUGUAAACUGCUUUUGUCAGGGAAGAAAUCCUCUGGGUUAAUACCUCGGGGGGAUGACGGUACCUGAAGAAUAAGCACCGGCUAACUACGUGCCAGCAGCCGCGGUAAUACGUAGGGUGCGAGCGUUAAUCGGAAUUACUGGGCGUAAAGCGUGCGCAGGCGGCUUUGCAAGACAGAUGUGAAAUCCCCGGGCUCAACCUGGGAACUGCAUUUGUGACUGCAAGGCUAGAGUACGGCAGAGGGGGAUGGAAUUCCGCGUGUAGCAGUGAAAUGCGUAGAUAUGCGGAGGAACACCGAUGGCGAAGGCAAUCCCCUGGGCCUGUACUGACGCUCAUGCACGAAAGCGUGGGGAGCAAAC
This 425-nucleotide ribosomal RNA is filed under the name uncultured bacterium. RNAcentral's name for it is "bacterial SSU rRNA". It matches the Rfam family "Bacterial small subunit ribosomal RNA", at positions 356 to 773 of the family's 1533-position model. The record is from RNAcentral.